UACGAAGGGUGCAAGCGUUACUCGGAAUUACUGGGCGUAAAGCGUGCGUAGGUGGUUCGUUAAGUCUGUCGUGAAAGCCCCGGGCUCAACCUGGGAAUGGCGAUGGAUACUGGCUCGCUAGAGUGCGGUAGAGGAGAGUGGAAUUCCCGGUGUAGCAGUGAAAUGCGUAGAGAUCGGGAGGAACAUCAGUUGCGAAGGCGGCUCUCUGGACCAGCACUGACACUGAGGCACGAAAGCGUGGGGAGCAAACGGG
This 253-nucleotide ribosomal RNA is filed under the name uncultured bacterium. RNAcentral describes it as "partial 16S ribosomal RNA". It matches the Rfam family "Bacterial small subunit ribosomal RNA", at positions 524 to 776 of the family's 1533-position model. The record is from RNAcentral.